RNAcentral lists this transfer RNA (62 nucleotides) under pig gut metagenome. It matches the Rfam family "tRNA", at positions 8 to 63 of the family's 71-position model. From Rfam's summary of the family: Transfer RNA (tRNA) molecules are approximately 80 nucleotides in length. Their secondary structure includes four short double-helical elements and three loops (D, anti-codon, and T loops). The record is from RNAcentral.
GGACGUAGCCAAGCGGUAAGGCAACGGACUUUGACUCAGUUAGUCUUGGUUCGAGUCCAGGU